ACGGGAACCUCGAGUCUUUGACCUCAUGAUUAGGUGUAAAAGGCCACACAGGAGGUUGUUUGUGUUUUUUAUAAAAGUUUAAGUAUCAAGCUUAAGACUAUAAAAAAUAACUACGCAACUAGAAUAUAUCAGGGGUUUAGUUUAUUUUUGAUUUAGAGGUGAAAUUCGAUGACAUCAAAAAGAGAUCCAAUUGGCGAAAGCUCUAAACCAUGAUAUAUUGACUCUGAAGUGCUAAAGUGUGGGUAGCAAAUGGGA
RNAcentral lists this ribosomal RNA (255 nucleotides) under uncultured prokaryote. RNAcentral describes it as "partial 16S ribosomal RNA". It matches the Rfam family "Bacterial small subunit ribosomal RNA", at positions 525 to 777 of the family's 1533-position model. The record is from RNAcentral.